This 233-nucleotide ribosomal RNA is filed under the name Vibrio parahaemolyticus. RNAcentral describes it as "partial 23S ribosomal RNA". It matches the Rfam family "Bacterial large subunit ribosomal RNA", at positions 2126 to 2358 of the family's 2925-position model. The record is from RNAcentral. Lineage: Bacteria; Pseudomonadati; Pseudomonadota; Gammaproteobacteria; Vibrionales; Vibrionaceae.
GACCCUACAUGUGUAGGAUAGGUGGGAGGCUUUGAAGCACGUACGCCAGUAUGUGUGGAGCCGUCCUUGAAAUACCACCCUUGUAGUGUUGAUGUUCUAACGUCGACCCCUUAUCGGGGUUGCGGACAGUGCCUGGUGGGUAGUUUGACUGGGGCGGUCUCCUCCCAAAGAGUAACGGAGGAGCACGAAGGUGGGCUAAUCACGGUUGGACAUCGUGAGGUUAGUGCAAUGGC